AGGUGAUUCAAGCUCUAAAAGAUAUUUUCAAGAAAAAAACUCCCUAAACAGUCUGGGAGAAACAAAGAACAGCACUACCUGAACCAAGUUUUAUACGCUGUCUAUAAGAAUCCUGACUGCACUGCCUGUCAUACAGAUAGCCACAAGAGACUACAGCUGCCGAUAUGUAUAUAUAACACAACCAUUAAUAUAUGGUGCAGCAAGUAACAACUGUGAAAAAAACGGAAAUUUUUUAUGCUCAUAUCCCAUAUAAGGAUUUUGCCUUUUAUAAUUUUCAUGGCCAUCUUCUGGAUUACUGGGAUAAAUUAACCAAGAACAAGAUCUUGAGAGAUGUUACUUAUGCCGCGUACACACGAUCAUUUUUCAGCAUGAAA
This is a long non-coding RNA of Rana temporaria (common frog), 374 nucleotides long. RefSeq lists it as uncharacterized. The transcript is spliced from 3 exons. Lineage: Eukaryota; Metazoa; Chordata; Amphibia; Anura; Ranidae. The record is from RefSeq and is a predicted model, not a curated record.